CGCGUAGGAAUCUACCUAUUAGUGGGGGAUAACAUGGAGAAAUUCAUGCUAAUACCGCAUAUGCCCUACGGGUAAAGAGGGCCUCUUCUUGAAAGCUCUUGCUAGUAGAUGAGCCUGCGUCGGAUUAGCUUGUUGGUGGGGUAAUGGCCUACCAAGGCGACGAUCCGUAGCUGGUCUGAGAGGAUGAUCAGCCACACUGGGACUGGAGACACGGCCAGACUCCGUACGGGAGCAGCAGGUGGGGAAUAUUGGACAAGUGGGCGCAAGCCUGAUCCAGCAAUACCUCGUGUGUGAAGAACG
This 300-nucleotide ribosomal RNA is filed under the name uncultured Gammaproteobacteria bacterium. RNAcentral describes it as "bacterial SSU rRNA". It matches the Rfam family "Bacterial small subunit ribosomal RNA", at positions 114 to 414 of the family's 1533-position model. Lineage: Bacteria; Pseudomonadati; Pseudomonadota; Gammaproteobacteria. The record is from RNAcentral.